GCUAUGGAUGUGGAUCAGUUGUCAGGUGCCUUUGAGUUCAAUCCAUGCUCUCCCCCAAAAAAUUGUGGAACAGAGUUGAAGAAAUAUAAAUUUGUAGAGGAAAAUGUGAGAGUGUGAAAAGUUAAAUUCACAAGAAAAUUUUGGUAGGAUUAUAUUCUCUUGUUUUAUUGUCUUUGUAUUUUCAUUCAGACAUAUUUUGUUUUUAAACAUAGGCAAAAGAUGUAUAGAGACUGAGGUGUUUAAUACCCAGGUUUUUCCAGUUACGCAUGUAGCCACAUUCUUAUCUAUAUUACUGUGUCACUUAGCAGAAGUCAACAUAGUUGACCAGUUUUCUUUUCUGACAUCUGUUCCUUUGGCUUUGAAUAAACAACAAUGUUCCUUCUCAGUUUUCCUUUGAGCCUCCUAGUUCAUACAAAUAUUCAACGUUGAAAUUCCUCCGGAUUUAAUCUUAGAGGUUCAUCUGACUGUAAACUUUUUCUUUAGGCUAUAUUCAUUCCCAAAAUACCAGGUACCAUCUAUCUACACACAACAUUUUUUCUUGUUUCUCAACACGACACCAGUUUUUCCUGUGUCCCAGAUCUCAAACUCAACUAAUUGCCUACCUAUCUCUGCAGCUGAAUGUAUAAUAGGAUCUUCAAAUUCAACACGUUCUGAAUAUUAGAACAGUGUGAAGAACACUUUAAAAAUAUAUGCUUGCUUGAGUCCCAUCUUGAAAGAGUCUUACUCAGUCUGGUUAGGUCCCCAAAACUAUAAUAAUAAGAGUAAUUAUAUAAUUCUAAGAAAUUUUAAUAUAUCAACAGUGGUCCUUUUGAGAACCAUUGCUAUAAUUCAUUUGCUUCUCUCCAUUUGAUUUUUCCACAUUCUAAUAAAAACUAAAAUAUUCUCAGACUACCACAGUAGCAUCUUAAGGUGUCUCUUUGCUUCAGCCUCUUUUUCCUUUCUCUUUAUUGCACCUGAGUGCUUUAUUUUUAAGUGCAUAAUGUCUGUGCUUAAUACCCUUUAGUUACAACCCACUACACUUACGUUGGAGAAUAAAACAUCAAAUAUGGUUUAAAAAUCACAGGUUUGAUUUGCUUCAUAGUUGUCCAUCCUCCUUCCUUGCCAUGGCACCCCCUCUCCACUAUUCUUGACAUUACAGCUACUUUGACCUUUCAUUAAUUCGAUUAUAAUGCAUUUUUUUUAUUAUUGUUUUCACAGGACUUGGGCAUGCCAGUCUUUUGAUCUGGGCCACUAGUGCACCCUCAUUUUUUUUUUUCUGGUUAACUGCUUAUGUAAGUUUUCAUCUCCUGUCUAUAUUCCCUUAGCAUUUCCUCUCCUGCUCCUGCUUAUUGCAUAGUGCUCAGCACUGGGAGUCUGUAUCAAGAAUAAUUAGAAAAUAAUUAGAAAAUAUUUACUGAGCACUUAGCAUGUAUCAAGCACAAUGUUGAGAGCCACAGCCAAGGGGCCCCAGCAAACUUUCAGACUGCCAGCUGAUGAUUGGCUCACAGCGGCCCCAGCAACUUCUAGCUGAUUGGCUCCUCGGCGGUGAUGCUCAUUGGGCUGUUUCCCUGCCCUUUCAGACCACGGAGCUGCUCAUUGGGGGACAUUUUUGGCUCCGCCCAUGCGACCCAGCCAAUCGGCCUCAAGAGCAGGAGGAGUGGGGGAGGUUGAGAGGCUUGUGGGAAGCCGGUGGUGGCAGUUGGGCUCUGAAGGUUUUCCUGAGGAGCUGUUUUGUUUGGCAUGUGUGGUUCUAAAAAUAAAGUUCGUUUCUUUUGACAAGUGGCUCCUGAAUUGUGCCCAGCCAGACUUCUGCAGUACAAAGCAUUAAAUAUCAAGAGUGAAUUGUUGUCAUCACUUCCUCCUAUUCAGCCAUGGGAGCUUCAAAAUGUAAUCAACAAUAGGGCAGUAACAGGUUUCCCCAAGAAUGUCCACGGUUAUAUUGCAGAUGUUAAAUGUGCAUUGUUCCCUGGAUCAAAUUUAGAGCAAAAACAUAGACACAGAGUUCUAUGAGCACAACCAACAACCAACCAACAUCUGGACAUUUACUAUGAGCCAGGCAGUGUGCUAAGUUCUUUGGAUGUGUUGCCUCAUUUAAUACAGCAACAUUGAGAUAAGUGCUAUUAAAACAAUCCAUAUCUUACAGAUGAGUAUAGCAAGUCUUACAGACUGCAAGGAACUUAUUAAAAACCUCUCAGUUUGCAACUGGAAGAACCAGAGCUGGAAAUACCAAGCCACAGAUUUAAAAUGUCAUGCUUAUGUUUGUCACGUCAUACACACUUAUGUACAGCAUGUGAGACCUGUCUGGGUGGGUUGGUGAACAGAUGGGAAAGGAUAGUUUUUAAUGGAAAUGUUGAGAGUGUAGGGAAUUCAUAAAUACCUGAAAGUGAAUGGUAACAGAGUGAAAAUUUUUCAGUAGAAAGAGGAA
This 2404-nucleotide long non-coding RNA is filed under the name Marmota monax (woodchuck). The record is from RNAcentral. Lineage: Eukaryota; Metazoa; Chordata; Mammalia; Rodentia; Sciuridae.